UACGAAGGGAGCUAGCGUUACUCGGAAUCAUUGGGCGUAAAGCGUGCGUAGGCGGCUUUAUAAGUCGGAAGUGAAAGCCUGGGGCUCAACCUCAGAAUUGCUUUCGAUACUGUAGAGCUAGAAUACCAGAGGGGAUGGCGGAAUUCCUAGUGUAGAGGUGAAAUUCGUAGAUAUUAGGAGGAACACCGGUGGCGAAGGCGGCCAUCUGGCUGGUUAUUGACGCUGUUGCACGAAAGCGUGGGGAGCAAACAGG
This 253-nucleotide ribosomal RNA is filed under the name uncultured bacterium. Its description in RNAcentral is "partial 16S ribosomal RNA". It matches the Rfam family "Bacterial small subunit ribosomal RNA", at positions 524 to 776 of the family's 1533-position model. The record is from RNAcentral.